UGAAAGAGAGGGUUUCAUCUGCAUAGUAUAGUUUACAAUGAGUUUAAAAGAUUGCAGGAGACAUUUUGUUCUUUCCUGAUUUUCUUUGCAUUGGUAUUUAAAUAUGAUUUUUUUUUCCUUGAAAAACCUUGAUACUAUAUACUUCCUGUGGUGGUCUUUCUAGAUGCUCAAGAGUCAGUUAAGGUGAGACAAGGAAAACUUGUUGGAGGUAAAAAACUUCCCCAAGUACCAAGUUCUGGGAGAGGAGCUAUCAAAAUAAAUUUAGUAUUUUCAACAAUAAUAACUCACAGAAUGGGACUGCAUUAUGUUGCCAGGCCACUGAUGCUGAAUGGCCAUUCUCAGAUGACUUUUUAGAAGAAAAAAAAAAAAAAAGAGGGCUGUCUUCAGCUGAUACAAUGACCUAAAUCUAAUCUAAUCUAAUUUGAAGAUAGAAGAUUCAAUCAAGAUUUUUGUCUU
Molecule: long non-coding RNA, 456 nt
Filed under: Anas platyrhynchos (mallard)
Lineage: Eukaryota; Metazoa; Chordata; Aves; Anseriformes; Anatidae
Description: lncRNA (ENSAPLG00020001641.1)
Source: RNAcentral